UAUCCCCUUUUCACUUUGCCAGUUGGACUUAUGUCUUUGUUGGUCACUCAAGUGGGGCCAAGGAAAUAUCCUUUUAAAAUGCAGGCAAACUGGUGUCUUGUAUCCUGUCAAAGGAAACAAAU
This is a small nucleolar RNA of Otolemur garnettii (small-eared galago), 122 nucleotides long. The record is from Ensembl. Lineage: Eukaryota; Metazoa; Chordata; Mammalia; Primates; Galagidae.